This 1784-nucleotide long non-coding RNA is filed under the name Nicotiana tabacum (common tobacco). RNAcentral's name for it is "long non-coding RNA (NTAB_LNC001878)". Lineage: Eukaryota; Viridiplantae; Streptophyta; Magnoliopsida; Solanales; Solanaceae. The record is from RNAcentral.
AGCUUAGUUUAGGGUUUAAAACCCUAAUGCUGGCUGAAAGGUAAAUUCAGUUUAGGGUUUAAAACCCUAAUGCUGAUUGCAUGGAAAACUCAGUUUAGGGUUUAAAAACCCUAAUGCUGGCUGAAUGGGAAAAGUUCAGUUUAGGGUUUAAAACCCUAAUGCUGACUAAAGGAAAAAUUCAGUUUAGGGUUUAAAACCCUAAUGCUGAUUGCAUGGAAAAGCUCAGUUUAGGGUUUAAAACCCUAAUGCUGGCUGAAUGGAAAAAAGUUCAGUUUAGGGUUUAAAACCCUAAUGCUGACUAAAGGAAAAAUUUAGUUUAGGGUUUAAAACCCUAAUACUGAUUGCAUGGAAAAGCUCAGUUUAGGGUUUAAAACCCUAAUGCUGGCUAAAGGAAAAGUUCAGUUUAUGGUUUAAAACCCUAAUGCUGACUGAAUGGAAAAGAGUUCAGUUUAGGGUUUAAAACCCUAAUGCUGACUGGCUGGAAAGUUCAGUUUAGGGUUUAAAACCCUAAUGCUGACUGAAAGGAAAAAUUCAGUUUAGGGUUUAAAACCCUAAUGCUGACUGAAUCAAGAAGUUCAGUUUAGGGUUUAAAACCCUAAUGCUGACUGAGUGGAAAAGUUCAUUUUAAGGUUUAAAACCCUAAUGCUGACUAAAUGGAAAAAGUUCAGCUUAGGGUUUAAAACCCUAAUGCUGACUGAAUGGAAAAAGUUCAGUUUAGGGUUUAAAACCCUAAUGCUGACUAAAGGGAAAAGUUCAGCUUAGGGUUUAAAACCCUAAUGCUGGCUGAAUGGAAAAAGUUCAGUUUAGGGUUUAAAACCCUAAUGCUAACUAAAGGGAACGAGUUCAGUUUAGGGUUUAAAACCCUAAUGUUGACUGAAAGGAAAAAGUUCAGUUUAGGGUUUAAAACCCUAAUGCUAACUAAAGGGAAAAGUUCAGUUUAGGGUUUAAAACCCUAAUGCUGACUAAAUGGAAAAAGUGCAAUUUAGGGUUUAAAAUCCUAAUGCUGACUGAAAGGAAAAGUUAAGUUUAGGGUUUAAAACCCUAAUGCUGACUAAAAGGAAAAAGUUCAGUUUAGGGUUUAAAACCCUAACGCUGAUUGCAUGGAAAAGCUCAGUUUAGGGUUUAAAACCCUAAUGCUGGCUGAAUGAAAGAGUUCAGUUUAGGGUUUAAAACCCUAAUGCUGACUAAAGAAAAAGUUCAGUUUAGGGUUUAAAACCCUAAUCUGAUUAAAAGGAAAAUUCAGUUUAGGGUUUAAAACCCUAAUACUGACUGCAUGGAAAAGCUUAGUUUAGGGUUUAAAACUCUAAUGCUGGCUGAAUGGAAAAAGUUCAGUUUAGGGUUUAAAACCCUAAUGCUGACUAAAGGAAAAGUUCAGUUUAGGGUUUAAAACCCUAAUGCUGAUUAAAGGAAAAAGUUCAGUUUAGGGUUUAAAACCCUAAUGCUGAUAAAAGGAAAAAGUUCAGUCUAGGGUUUAAAACCCUAAUGCUGACUAAAGGAAAAAGUUCAGUUUAGGGUUUAAAACCCUAAUGUUGACUGAAUGAAAGAGUUCAGUUCAGGGUUUAAAACCCUGAUGCUGACUAAAUGGAAAAGUUCAGUUUAGGGUUUAAAACCCUAAUGCUGACUGAAAGGGAAAAAUUAAGUUUAGGAUUUAAAACCCUAAUGCUGACUGGUUGGGGGGUAAAGUUCGAGAAUGCUAGCUAUAGCCUUUUUUUUUUUGGAUUUUCUUGUUUUAGUAGCAGAUAAAAGGGAGUCUCAUAGAAACUUACCUUUCGAGUGAAUUCCUU